AGUGAACGCUGGCGGUAGGCCUAACACAUGCAAGUCGAACGGCAGCACAGGAUCUCUUGCUCUCUGGGUGGCGAGUGGCUGACGGGUGAGGAAUACAUCGGAAUCUGCCCAGUCGUGGGGGAUAACGUAGGGAAACUUACGCUAAUACCGCAUACUACCUUCGGGUGAAAGAGGGGGAUCUCAAGACCUCUCGCGAUUGGAUGAGCCGAUGUCGGAUUAGCUAGUUGGCGGGGUAAUGGCCCACCAAGGCGCCGAUCCGUAGCUGGUCUGAGAGGAUGAUCAGCCACACUGGAACUGAGACGCGGGCCAGACUCCUACGGGAGGCAGCAGUGGGGAAUAUUGGACAAUGGGCGCAAGCCUGAUCCAGCCAUACCGCGUGGGUGAAGAAGGCCUUCGGGUUGUAAAGCCCUUUUGUUGGGAAAGAAAUCGUUCAGGCUAAUACCCUGGGAGGAUGACGGUACCCAAAGAAUAAGCACCGGCUAACUUCGUG
This 490-nucleotide ribosomal RNA is filed under the name uncultured bacterium. RNAcentral describes it as "partial 16S ribosomal RNA". It matches the Rfam family "Bacterial small subunit ribosomal RNA", at positions 29 to 507 of the family's 1533-position model. The record is from RNAcentral.